Prionailurus viverrinus (fishing cat) is the source of this 2600-nucleotide long non-coding RNA. RefSeq lists it as uncharacterized. The transcript is spliced from 4 exons. The record is from RefSeq and is a predicted model, not a curated record. NCBI's taxonomy places the organism in Eukaryota, Metazoa, Chordata, Mammalia, Carnivora, Felidae.
GAUCCCUUCUGAUUGCUGCAAAGGCCCAGAGGCCCCGCGCCCGGGGCAGCUCCCAUUUCGCCUGGGCUGAGGAGGGAACAGGCCUGGGACGGUCUGCAGGCUCCAGAGCCUCUGCAGAUGGCUGGGUCAUUUUGUGGUUUACAAAUGAUCAAGUCAGGUUGAAGCCACAGUCUCUGUGGUUACAAGGCAACUGUGAUUAGUCACCCAGUUAGUGACCCAGUUAUGGCACACCCUCUUUUAAAAGGACAUCAUUCAACAUCUUGCUGGCUUGAUUUCAGAAACGUUCCAUGUAGACCAGGAAAGUGAACACUGCAAGGGGGGUGGGGGGGGUGUUGGGGAUUGAAGCCUAGGUUAUGUGUUUGCAUAUGCCAAGAGUUGGAUUUUCCAAAAAGGAGUAAAUCUGGGAGUUAACUUUUGAGGCUAGAAUCUCACUGAACUUUGGCGAGAGAUUGCUUUUCAAGUUCAGGUAUGGCUGUUUCUGCAAGGAGUCAGGGAGAGAGAGAAAAGAGUUACCUCGUGAGCUUUGACUUGGCUUAUAUAUUCAUGGCCAUCUGUAAAAUGAAAGUGGGGAGGCAGGAAGGGGAAGAAGAACACUACAUAUGAAGGCUUGUGUGGCUUUUGAUUUUUUAAAAAUAGCCUUUCUUUUUACCACAAUGGCAUAGGAACUCGUAGACAUGAGUCCCCAGUAAUAGUAAACAAAUUAGCUUCUUUUAUCUGAAAAACAAGUAGGGUAAGUCUCUCUCUCUCUCUCUCUCUCUCUCUCUCUCUCUCUCUUUUUGCAAAGAGAAAAUGCAAAACAAAAAUCCCCCCUCCUCCUAAAGGCUUCUUUGCUGGUUGAGUGUUUGUCCAGGAACAAAUAGUCUUUUAUUCGAACCGUCUCCAAAAGUUCAUAAGCAAAAAAAGUGUCCAACGUCUGGUUACCGACAAUGCAAUCUCUGGCUGCAUGGUGAAGCUUUUCUGUCCUGAAUUUGUGAUCUGCUAUCAGAGUCCUUUAAUUUCUGUGAACAGAAGGCUCUUUGGGAGAAGAAAGGUUGGGGGUGGGGAGUGACAUUGGAAUCAGUCUUUUUUCCCCCCUUUUGCUGUUUUCUUCCAGGCAGCAAGUAGUGCUUGAAUUCUUCUGAUCUUUCCCAGCAUCUUACUGAGCUAAAUUAUUUUAAACAUUUGGUCACCUUUUGUGGUUUGAAACUUCAAUUCGAGUGGAUUCCAUUUCACACGCUUACUGAGAAGCUUCAGGAGAAGCCUGGUCCUUUCCUAGGUGCAGAGGACACAGGAGAAAGCAAGACACCCAGAGGUCACACUCUCAUGGAGCUUAUAUUCUAAUGUCCUGUGGUCUCCACGCUGGGGAUACGCCUGCCUGCCGUUCACAGUCAAGCAGGGGAGGCAGAUAAUACAAACAAGCAAUGACCUUGAAGGUUUGAGGUUCCUGACAGACUGCCAAGUGGAUGUGAAUUUGGGGACACUGGUCAUCAUUGGGAAAGCCAGGAAGGACUUGAGAAAAAUCAUUCAGAUAACGUGUGUGUUUGUUUCUGCGGCAGCCUGAGAUCCUGUGGCUGUCAGGAGAGAAAUUCACUCCAGCUGGCCCGGAAAAGUGGGGAAUUGUUAGGGUACAGAGAGCUUCACGGGGUGUGUUGCUCACCGGGAAGCUAUGAGGAUGGGAACAGCUCUUCUGGACUAUGUAGGACAAUGUGGCCACCUGCCACUCGAACCUUCCCUUACACCGCAUGCCCCUCUGUGCUCAUGCGUGAGGCCUCCAGCCUCCAUAUCUGCCCCCUGCAGAGCUGACUCCUGCUCUCUCUUGCCAAAGGACUUGACAGCUGCAUUGAAAAGCCUCCUGUGGACUUCACCACGAUCUUUAAAAGCCUUUUUUGGAUCUUUUAUUUAUUUUUGAGAGAGAGGGACAGAGAGUGCGCAGGGGGAGGAACAGAGAGAGAGGGAGACACAGAAUCUGAAGGAGGCUCCAGGUUCCGAGCCGUCAGCCCAGAGCCCGACGCGGGGCUCAAACCCACAAACCGUGAGAUCAUGACCUGACCCGAAGUCGGACGCUCAACCGACGGAGCCACCCAGGCGCCCUGAGUACAGAACUUCUGAUCAGACACGAUAUUGGUACAUUCUUUAUCUCCCUGUCUCACCCAUGAAAUCUGCUGUGUGUUCCUGUUCCAUGGAGCAGGGAGGAAAGGGCGUGUGCGCGAAACUGUCUGCAUGUCUCCUUUACCAGGAGGAUCUGGGCAGUUUGCGUGUACUGUACUCUCAAAAGCUUCAGUCCCCUACUCUGUAAGGCAGCGCCUACUUCCCCAGGAGAGACAGUUGCACGAGGUAACACGUGAAAUGCUCGCACUCGGUUGACUGUUCCUUUCGUCCGUUUACUUCUCCGUAAUUCUUGUGCAAACCACUGUUUGCCCAGAAAACAGGGAUUGUACUUCUAUGACAUCUUUAUAGUGAUUCCUAUGCAUGGGUAUUAACAAAUGUUUAUAGAAUGAUCGUAUAUUUUUGUUCCGUUAAAUAGUAGUUGUAGCCACUCGAUAACAUGUUAGGAAAUUUGAGAUGAGGAAAAAUCAUUUACCUAUACUCCUGCCAUUUAAAUAAAAACAUAUAAACUAUGA